RNAcentral lists this long non-coding RNA (4334 nucleotides) under Linum usitatissimum (flax). Its description in RNAcentral is "long non-coding RNA (LUSI_LNC003280)". Lineage: Eukaryota; Viridiplantae; Streptophyta; Magnoliopsida; Malpighiales; Linaceae. The record is from RNAcentral.
UCGAGCCAGGUGGCCGGAGCUUGAGCCGGGCGCCGGGAAAUCCUCCGCCGCAAUCCGGAUCUCGAUUUCGACAAACUCCGAUCAGUGGUAUCCCCUUCUUCCUCGCCAGCGGAAGAAAGUCUCCGGCUUAAAAUGUAGAGGACCACCGCUGCCCCGGCGGCGGGGGCCGCGCCCCCCCCCCCCCCCCGCCCCCGCGGGGCAAACAGACGUGGCGUAAUCCCCCGCCGCAAUCCGGAUCUCGAUUUCGACAAACUCAGAUCAGCGGCAUCCCCUUCUUCCCCGCCAGCAGAAGCAAGUCUCCGGCUUAAAUUGGAGGGACCCCCCCCUCCCCAGGCGGCGGUCGCCAUUGCCCCCGCCGCCAUCGAUCGAAGCGGAAAAAGCUUGGGAGGAGGGAAAAUGAAAGGAAAGCAAAUCCCUUUGUGUCGCUUUCAGGCUUGUGAGGAAUUGUAAUCAGGAAAAAGGGAGGAAUCGAAGUAAUCGACGGAGUUUGCUUCUGCGUUGAGCGGGGGCAAUUGGGGAGUAAAGCCCUCUGGGGAAUUGGAGGGAGCAGAGGAAGCGGAGAAGAAACCUUUUCUGGCCGCGGAAAUGGUGAAGAAGAAGCGAAGAACCAAAAUAAAAAUAAAAAAUAAAAAAGAUUUUUGCAAAUGAUUUGAUAAACCAAACAAAAGGUAAUUGGGAUCAGAUGUUAAAUGACGGAAAAGGCUGCACGGUGACUAGGUGAUGUUAGGCUGUUAGCGGGAGUUGUUUGGAUUGUGCGGGGAGAGGUGAGGGGUAAUUAAGGGAAUUCGAGAGGGUGGUAGUGGUGGGGAAGAAAAUAGUGGGAAUUAUGUGGAGGUUGGGAAGCUCGGCAUUGCAUCAAAAUAAUGAAAAGCAAGUAAUAAUAAUAAUACAGGAAUUGAAAUAAUUUAAAAGAAUGGAAGUGCGAGCAUGUUAGGCAGACAAAGAUUAAUUAUUUGGGGGAUUAAUAUUAUAAUCUUAGUAUGGGUUUCGUGGAUCAUGAUCAGAGUGGAUUAGGAUUCAAUUCAGAUGUCGGGAGACCAAAUUAAGAGACCAAAGUGGCCAAUUAGUAACUGCUCCUUGCGAUUGUAGUGUUUUGGGCUGCUCCUUAUUCUGGGAUUCAGAAGCUCUUCAUCAAUCUCCUGGAGCACGGUGGCAGAAUUCACUAUGGUAGCUCUAAUUUUCAAUUCAAUUGUUCAUUCCUACCAGUACAUAGCAACCUAGAAUGCAAUACUGCUUACUAAGGAAUGUUCAUCUCUCCUCAGAUUUCAAGACAUAUAGUAAAACGGAUACGUAUUGUUUACUAACAUAGUAAUAUUUGAUUUGGAUUCAUAUCUGAUUGCGUACGUUUUUCUUUUUUUAUGUUGGAAAUAUGCACUCGGGUUUGAUUUUGGUGUGAUGGAAGCACCAUGGAUUUGAUUUUGGUGUGAUGCCGGAAUUGGAACGGAUGCAUUAACUCACGGGAAACCUCACAUUAGUUCAGAGCAAGUUGGAACUAGCUGGCAUCAACUCCUCUAUGAACUAGAUGAUGUUAGGAACUGACACUGAAACUCGUCCAGCUCAACCUUGAGCUGGAUGUUAGUAUCACUAGCUACAGUGAUGGUAGGGAGCUAGGUAGUUGGGGUGGUUACUCCUUCUCCUAAGAUGAAUGGGUACACACCUCUUCGUGAGAUUCAAACUCCUUUUUGAGUUGUUUUCCCUCCAAACCCGUAAGACUUCAAAGUGGUUACCUUCAAGUCUAUCUAUGGGAUAAUGAUUCCUUUUGGUGCAUGCAUUCGUAGCCCUUCGGUCCUGAACCCCUUUGCCUAUAUAAAGAAGGCAGUAGUGUGGGAGAACAUACACAGAAAACAUCUAUCCUAACCUACGACUCUAAGUGACUUUAAUUUCUAAAGUCUAAGAACUUAAGUGGAGACGGUUUUAUCCUCAGAAAGGAUUUUCUGAUACCCAAGGUUUGUAGGGUGGAAAUACUCUUUUCAAAAAGUGGUACCCAUGAUUCCGUCUUGAUCCUAAAUCUCAUCACUUAUCGAAACUCGAAUCAUUGCUACUUGGAACCUCUUGAUCCAUCACUUUUUAGAGUAUGUGCAUUUUCCAACAUGCAAGUGAAAAUCCAUUUCGAAGAUUCUACUGUUGAAGUCCAAAAUUCACUUGGAUUGAAUGCGUUGUUAAAGGCCUCAUAACUGAUCGUUGCAUGAAAUGUGGUCAUAAGAUAAAUAAUGAAGAGUCUAUUUGCUCUUGUUUUGGUUCUAGGAUCAAGUUUUGAGUGGUUAAUAUAUCGAGCUUUUGAUACCUAAUCUCUGAUUAUAUUCUCAGGGUAAGUUCGAGUGGUUAAUACGCGGACCUUGGGAAGCUUUUGGUUAGGGGAUUCUGUGCCUUCUCCUUGAAAACCUGUUUCGAAAUAUGCAGUUGUUGAUUAGUCCAGUACUCUUCCUCUACUAAAGUUCUCUUCCUCAAAAUAUGCAGAUGUUGAUUAGUCCAGUACUCUUCCUCUCGGCUGCUGUCCCUUUAUAAUGAAGUUGCUGCAGAAAACUACCAAACACAUACAUGAUUAUUUCCUUUGGGUGGCUACAUCCAAAAAAUCAUGGAAACCACAAGAUGAACAUAUUGAUUGCAGAAAGGUAACAAAGUGAAGAACUCGACAUUCUUGUUCCCUUGUGUACCUUAUUAUAUCUGGGAAAUUGGAGACUCAACUGAAACCUUAAAUAACUGUGAAUGCCUCAGUUUCUUGGAAACAAUUAUAUUGAGCUACUACAUUGCUUGACAUUUGACCUGAAUUCAUGAAAGAAGCAACAGCUCAAUACUGAAGAUCAUUUGACAAAAAGGCUUGUUUGGAACCAUCUUUUUUUAUUAUUUUUUAUCAAAGGUAUCGUGUUGGGAAUUAAGACAUUAAGUUUCAGUACUGAAGAUCAUUUACCUGCCUCAGAGUAGCAGCUGUUGGUGGUUGUUGUCAAUGAUCGGGGUCCCCAAGUCACCAGCUGAAUUCGUCUGCCCUUCCCCGCACUAAAGCCUCUUCAAUACAACAACUGCCCACAGAGAAGUUAAUUGAUUACUUGUGGGAAUAACCAUGGCAAAUUAACAAUCUCAUAGUAAUAGGGAAUAACCCUAAACACAAUGAAGGUGCAUAUGUUUCCUGCUUAAUGAGUCUAAUUAGUUUAUAGCUUAUAAAUGUAAUGAUAAAUGUUUGGCUGGGAGAUUCACAUAAUACUAAUAGGUUGAGCAAAAUUGAAAGUGAAUUGCUAUAAGUUUAUUCCAAAGCUAAUUCAUCCAAACAUAUCGAAAUUACAGAAGCCAAACACAGCACCCAUCCACACAGUGCCGCAAUUUAGGCCAACACAACAGUAUUUUCCAUCCAUUUUGCCACGCUGGUUGUCCAUGUCAAUUUAGAAAAGCACUAGUUCCAACCCCCAAUCGUCUAUCCCGGAGGAGGAGGAGGAGGAUUGUUGUGUCGUCGGAGCGGGAUGAGAUCGGCGGCGGCAAGAUCUUAGCGGUGAUUAACUGAGGCAAAGCUAUAGGCUUGUCUUCCUCAUCUUCGCUCAAGCUCUUGCCUUUCAGCAGAGAUUCAAUCAGCUUCUUCCUCGAAUUGCAAGGGCACUUCAUCGAGAGAGCAAAGAGAUCCUCCGGUUUGUUCUCGUUCGCAUCAAGGCAGUUGGAAUCAGCAUCAGCAUCAAGCAGCGUCUUAACAAUCGCAACCGAAGAGUUCGAACCACCAGCAACAGCUUAGCGAAGGGCAGUGACCAUAUCCGAGCCGCAGGCUCGAUUCACAUCAACUUUGCCAAUUCCGAUUAUAUACUUCAAAACAUCAGUGCUUCCAAACAUGGCUGCAAUCAUGAGAGGGGUUCUCUCCUCGAACCCCAUCUUCCUCGAGCCGAUUCUUCUUCCAUACGAACAGCUUGCUUCAUCCACAUCCAAUCCUUUGCCUUCAACCUCGCUUCCGAAUGAAACUAGAUCCCGAAUUGCAGACAGCUCGAGUGUGAACUGGUGGAGGAGAUAGAAGGAGGGUGCUCUCCAUUUUACAUUAAUUGCCUCUUAGUUUAAUUGGAUCAGACUAAACAGGGUAGGCACAAAUAGAGUAAGAAAUGAUGGAGAAGAAGGUGAAUAGUGAUUUGGUUCUGGUUUUUCGAUUUUUUGUUCGGUUCGGUUCAUUUUAAUCAAAAUAUUUGCUAUGACGUGGAAUUUAACAGAAAUUUUGGACAGUGUGGAGACAACAAUAGUGUUCUGGGCUGUUUUGAUGGAUUUUUUUGACCUAAAGAUCCGGUCAAAAAUUGAAUUAAACCUUCGAGAUUACGUAAGUCAAUAAUUUGGGAAACGUGGCCCGUGGAAAGGGGAAAGUUUUUAGGGGA